This 213-nucleotide long non-coding RNA is filed under the name Musa acuminata (dwarf banana). RNAcentral describes it as "long non-coding RNA (MACU_LNC002706)". The record is from RNAcentral. Lineage: Eukaryota; Viridiplantae; Streptophyta; Magnoliopsida; Zingiberales; Musaceae.
AGAGUCAAUGAGCAGAUUUUGUAGAGGAAGGACCCAAAACUUCAGAAGUUUGCGAGGCGAUGCUCAUUAAAGCUCCAACAAGCAUCCACCCAGUUCAAGCAGCAUGUGGAAUUUUUGAGAGACUGGCGCAGUAAGGAUGGUAUUUUCCUUCAUUUGGUGGAUCCGCAAGAAUCAACGAGGAUCAACACAACUCAGCCAACCCCACACCAGAGU